This 411-nucleotide ribosomal RNA is filed under the name Stylotermes sp. Its description in RNAcentral is "partial large subunit ribosomal RNA". The stretch from base 1 to 161 matches the Rfam family "Archaeal large subunit ribosomal RNA", at positions 1894 to 2097 of the family's 2987-position model. Lineage: Eukaryota; Metazoa; Arthropoda; Insecta; Blattodea; Stylotermitidae. The record is from RNAcentral.
GUUUAUCAAAAACAUCUCUUCUUGUAAGUUUUUGAGGUAUGGCCUGCCCACUGAUGAUUAGUUAUUGAAGGGCCGCGGUAUAUUGACCGUGCAAAGGUAGCAUAAUCAUUUGUUCAUUAAUUGUGAUCUGGUAUGAAUGGUUAGACGAGAUAUUAGCUGUCUUGGAUUUUGAGUUUUGUUUGGAAUUUGGUUUUUAAGUUAAAAUUCUUAAAUGUUUUUAUGGGACGAGAAGACCCUAUAGAGUUUUACAUUUAAUGGUUUAUUUUUUGUUUGGUUUGUUUUGUUGUUAGGCUUUAAUUGUUUUGUUGGGGUGAUGGGAAGAAUUUGAGUAACUCUUCUUUGAUUUAUUUUAUAUUGGUGUAUAUUUUUUUGAUCCAUUUAUUUUGAUUGUCAGAUUAAAUUACCUUAGGG